GCCUAGCCCUAAACCUUGGUAAUAUAUCACAUACCCUACCCGCCUGGGAACUACGAGCACCAGCUUAAAACCCAAAGGACUUGGCGGUGCUUUAGACCCCCCUAGAGGAGCCUGUUCUAGAACCGAUAACCCCCGUUCAACCUCACCCUUCCUUGUUUAUCCCGCCUAUAUACCGCCGUCGUCAGCUUACCCUGUGAAGGCCUAAAAGUAAGCACAACUGGCACAACCCAAAACGUCAGGUCGAGGUGUAGCGCAUGGAGGGGGAAGAAAUGGGCUACAUUCCCUAUAUUAGGGAACACGAACGGCGCACUGAAACACGCGCCUGAAGGAGGAUUUAGUAGUAAGCGGAAAAUAGCGUGUUCCGCUGAAAUCGGCCCUGAAGCGCGC
This 387-nucleotide ribosomal RNA is filed under the name Sebastes babcocki (redbanded rockfish). RNAcentral describes it as "partial 12S ribosomal RNA". It matches the Rfam family "Bacterial small subunit ribosomal RNA", at positions 794 to 1384 of the family's 1533-position model. RNAcentral also lists the same sequence under 5 other names. The record is from RNAcentral. Lineage: Eukaryota; Metazoa; Chordata; Actinopteri; Perciformes; Sebastidae.